This 465-nucleotide ribosomal RNA is filed under the name uncultured bacterium. Its description in RNAcentral is "partial 16S ribosomal RNA". It matches the Rfam family "Bacterial small subunit ribosomal RNA", at positions 28 to 507 of the family's 1533-position model. The record is from RNAcentral.
GACGAACGCUGGCGGCGUGCUUAACACAUGCAAGUCGAACGGAAAGGCCCCUUUGGGGGUACUCGAGUGGCGAACGGGUGAGUAACACGUGAGUAACCUGCCCUUGACUUCGGGAUAACUUCAGGAAACUGGGGCUAAUACCGGAUAGGAAUCCUUGCUGCAUGGUGGGGGUUGGAAAGCUUCGGCGGUUUUGGAUGGACUCACGGCUUAUCAGCUUGUUGGUGGGGUAGUGGCUUACCAAGGCUUUGACGGGUAGCCGGCCUGAGAGGGCGACCGGCCACCUUGGGACUGAGAGACGGCCCAGGCUCCGACGGGAGGCAGCAGUGGGGAAGAUUGCACAAUGGGCGGAGGCCUGAUGCAGCAGCGCCGCGUGCGGGAUGACGGCCUUCGGGUUGUAAACCGCUUUCAGCAGGAGCGAAGCUUGUGGUGACGGUACCUGAAGAAGAAGCACCGGCUAACUACGUG